UGGGGAAUAUUGCACAAUGGGCGCAAGCCUGAUGCAGCCAUGCCGCGUGUAUGAAGAAGGCCUUCGGGUUGUAAAGUACUUUCAGCGGGGAGGAAGGGAGUAAAGUUAAUACCUUUACUCAUUGACGUUACCCGCAGAAGAAGCACCGGCUAACUCCGUGCCAGCAGCCGCGGUAAUACGGAGGGUGCAAGCGUUAAUCGGAAUUACUGGGCGUAAAGCGCACGCAGGCGGUUUGUUAAGUCAGAUGUGAAAUCCCCGGGCUCAACCUGGGAACUGCAUCUGAUACUGGCAAGCUUGAGUCUCGUAGAGGGGGGUAGAACUCCAGGUGUAGCGGUGAAAUGCGUAGAGAUCUGGAGGAAUACCGGUGGCGAAGGCGGCCCCCUGGACGAAGACUGACGCUCAGGUGCGAAAGCGUGGGGAGCAAACA
RNAcentral lists this ribosomal RNA (427 nucleotides) under uncultured Enterobacteriaceae bacterium. Its description in RNAcentral is "bacterial SSU rRNA". It matches the Rfam family "Bacterial small subunit ribosomal RNA", at positions 355 to 774 of the family's 1533-position model. Lineage: Bacteria; Pseudomonadati; Pseudomonadota; Gammaproteobacteria; Enterobacterales; Enterobacteriaceae. The record is from RNAcentral.